This 89-nucleotide unclassified non-coding RNA is filed under the name Pseudomonas thivervalensis. The record is from RNAcentral. Lineage: Bacteria; Pseudomonadati; Pseudomonadota; Gammaproteobacteria; Pseudomonadales; Pseudomonadaceae.
UGUGGGAGCGAGCUUGCUCGCGAUGGCGGUGGCUCAGUCACAUUGAUGUCGACUGACACUUCGCUAUCGCGAGCAAGCUCGCUCCCACA